RNAcentral lists this ribosomal RNA (815 nucleotides) under uncultured Prevotella sp. RNAcentral's name for it is "bacterial SSU rRNA". It matches the Rfam family "Bacterial small subunit ribosomal RNA", at positions 569 to 1387 of the family's 1533-position model. Lineage: Bacteria; Pseudomonadati; Bacteroidota; Bacteroidia; Bacteroidales; Prevotellaceae. The record is from RNAcentral.
GCGUAGGCAGUUUUUUAAGCGUGCUGUGAAAUGUACCGGCUCAACCGGUGAUGUGCAGCGCGAACUGGGAAUCUUGAGUACGCAGUAAGCAGGCGGAAUUCGUGGUGUAGCGGUGAAAUGCUUAGAUAUCACGAAGAACUCCGAUUGCGUAGGCAGCUUGCUGUAGCGUAACUGACGCUGAAGCUCGAAAGUGCGGGUAUCGAACAGGAUUAGAUACCCUGGUAGUCCGCACGGUAAACGAUGGAUGCCCGCUGUCGGCCUUUUUUGGUCGGUGGCCAAGCGAAAGCGUUAAGCAUCCCACCUGGGGAGUACGCCGGCAACGGUGAAACUCAAAGGAAUUGACGGGGGCCCGCACAAGCGGAGGAACAUGUGGUUUAAUUCGAUGAUACGCGAGGAACCUUACCCGGGCUUGAACUGCCAUUGACUUGAAUAGAGAUAUUCAUUCCCUUCGGGGCAUUGGUGGAGGUGCUGCAUGGUUGUCGUCAGCUCGUGCCGUGAGGUGUCGGCUUAAGUGCCAUAACGAGCGCAACCCCUUUUUUCAGUUGCCAUCGGUUAAAGCCGGGCACUCUGUGAAUACUGCCGCCGUAAGGUGUGAGGAAGGUGGGGAUGACGUCAAAUCAGCACGGCCCUUACGUCCGGGGCUACACACGUGUUACAAUGGCGCGUACAGCGAGUCGGCCGUAUGUAAAUGCGGUCCAAUCCUUAAAACGCGCCUCAGUUCGGACUGGGGUCUGCAACCCGACCCCACGAAGCUGGAUUCGCUAGUAAUCGCGCAUCAGCCAUGGCGCGGUGAAUACGUUCCCGGGCCUUAUACA